CCUACGUGGGGCAGCAGUGAGGAAUAUUGGUCAAUGGGCGGAAGCCUGAACCAGCCAAGUAGCGUGCGGGAUGACGGCCCUACGGGUUGUAAACUGCUUUUGUACGGGGAUAACACGCUCCACGUGUGGAGGUCUGCAGGUACCGUACGAAUAAGGGUCGGCUAAUUCCGUGCCAGCAGCCGCGGUAAUACGGAAGGUGCGAGCGUUAUCCGGAUUUAUUGGGUGUAAAGGGAGCGUAGGCGGGCGUGUAGGUCAGCGGUAAAAUCGGGCGGCUAAACCGGGACCCGCAGUUGAAACUGGACGGCUAGAGUGCACAAGAGGCAGGCGGAAUGCGUGGUGUAGCGGUGAAAUGCUUAGAGAUCACGAGGAACACCGAUUGCGAAGGCAGCCUACCGAGGUGCGACUGACGCUGAGGCUCGAAGGUGCGGGUAUCAAACAGGAUUAGAUACCCGAGUAGUC
Molecule: ribosomal RNA, 459 nt
Filed under: uncultured bacterium
Lineage: Bacteria
Description: partial 16S ribosomal RNA
Rfam family: Bacterial small subunit ribosomal RNA
Source: RNAcentral